UACAGAGGUCCCAAGCGUUGUUCGGAUUUACUGGGCGUAAAGGGUGCGUAGGUGGUCGGGUAAGUCUCAUGUGAAAUCUCCAAGCUCAACUUGGAAAUGGCAUGGGAUACUAUUCGGCUAGAGGAUUGGAGGGGGGACUGGAAUUCCCGGUGUAGCAGUGAAAUGCGUAGAUAUCGGGAGGAACACCAGUGGCGAAGGCGAGUCCCUGGACAAUUCCUGACGCUGAGGCACGAAAGCUAGGGGAGCAAACAGG
Molecule: ribosomal RNA, 253 nt
Filed under: uncultured bacterium
Lineage: Bacteria
Also listed under: 1 other name
Description: partial 16S ribosomal RNA
Rfam family: Bacterial small subunit ribosomal RNA
Source: RNAcentral